UGUAUUAAACAGCUUCCUGUUGCUGUGACAAAAUACCCGAGAGAAACAGCUAAAAAGAAACAUUUCUUUUGAGUAAAGCCUAUAAAGAUUUUAGUCCCUAGUCAUUUGCUACUAUUAUUCCUGGAAUUAUUCAUGAAGAAAAUCAUUAUGGCAGUGAGCCUGUGGUUGAGCAAAGUGGUGAAUGCAUCUGGGGAGGAGGAAUGGAGCACGGAGAGGAGAGAGACAGGAGACAGGGCGUGUGAGGCAGAGAGGGAAAGAGUUCUGGUGAGUUUUGAGUUUUGUUUUUUGUCAGGUUGACACCAGCUAGUCAUCAUCCAGGAAGGGGGAACCUCAUGUGAGGAACUGCCUCCAUCAGAUUGGCCUGUAGGCAAGUUGGUAGGGACGUUUUUCUUGACUAGUGAUCAAUGUGGGAGGGGCUAGGCAAUCGGAAGUGACGUCACUUGGGACAGGUGGUCUUGGCUUAUAUAAAAAGGCUUGCUGAACCAGUGGCGGGAAGCAAGCUAGUAGCAGCGUUCUUUUGCAGUCUUUGCUGCCACUGCUGCCAGGUUCCUGCCCGCCUAGACUUCCCUCCGCGAUAGACUAUGUUGUGGAGCCGUAAGUGAAGUACCCUCUCCGCUCCUCACCUUGCCUUUGUUUCUAGUGGUUAUCGCAGUGAGAGAAGCCCAACUAGGACACUUACUAGGUCAUUAUUUAUGAGGUGAUGCACGUAGUUGGCUUCUGCGUUUAAAUCAUGUAGAUGGCAAGUCAGUAAACUUCCAUCAACAAUUCCCGUGUGGGUGCUGACUGACCUCGUGCUUCAGAGUACACAAUACUCUUGCAGAGGACCCACGCUUGGCUCCCGGCGCCCACUCCAAUGGUUCCUUGCUGCCACGAAUUCUACCUCUAAGGGAGCCGAUACCCUCUUUUGGCCUUCACAGACAGCCAUCUGCGUCCACAUGCACACACCUGUAAACAGUAAUACAUGUCAUUAAAAAAAAAUAUCACACCUGACAUUUUUUUGAUGUGGCUUUUCUGUAGAAUUUCUUAGGUUGAAAAUGAAAAUCACUAGUCCUAAGGAUAGCAGCGGGGGAAUUACCUCCUUAGGAUCAAAAAUUUCAUUCUUGAGCUAGCCGUAGGUGUGUCCUGAAGAGUAAUGAAGUGGAGGAGAAUCACACCCGUGUGACCUGCUCACUGCAGUCUCGACGUUUGAUUCAGAAAAAUGGAUUAUUUGAUUUGUCGCGCUAGGAAAAAAAAAAAGCAUUAUUCUGAUUUUACAACUUACGCCAAUGUUCCAUUCCGGAUUGAAAAUUAAGUGUGGAAAAAUUAUAUAUGACACAUAUAUCAUGUCUGUAAUAUAAUAAUAUAUAGUAUAAGGGAAUGGUAUGGUGUCUUCUAGGCAGGAUGCCAUCUCUUUAGCCUGAAUCAACCCACAGCGCAAAGGACUUUAUUGGCAGGAAAGACAUCUAUUUGCCAAAGCAGAUCAUAGAACCAGUGGAAAAGCACUUCUCCAACAAGGAGAAGACACCUGUGCAGCUUUGACUUGUGAAGGGCCAGCCUCCACAAGGCUCGGAGGACAUGUCACGUGGUAUGGAAAUGGCCACCAAAGCUACUAUCAAAUCCUAAAGGACCACAGUACUAAGUGUUAAUGCUGAACCUACAGACCUCUAAAAAUGCCCAUCUACUGCUGCUGGCCAUGUAAACUGGCCUCAGCACUUUGUAAAACAGUGUGUACGUAGUUCCAUUUAACAGAAGAAAAUUCCGGCAUUGGUUAGAAUGAAUGUCAGAUUAAUAGCUAUUUCCCUGGAUGAUGAAGAUGUUGUAGAAGGUUCUAAUGCACUGUAACGUUUUGUCCCUGAAGCUGGAUGACAGAUACUUGAGCAUGUUUGAACUCCACACACGUUUUAUUCAUUCCCUUGUGUGCGUGAUUAAGAUCACAGUGAGACCCAAACCUCUUACUGGACCAGAGCCAGCAGCAUUCCUUUCCUUUAAAAAUUAUUGUUUGAGAGUGUAAUAGUUACAUCACUUUCUUCCUUCUCUUUAUUACCCCUUUGAUCCAUCCUAUAUACCCCUCAACUGCUCUCAUUUAAACAUGCACACACACACACACAUAUGUUUUUUAUACAUGGAAAUAUAAUCUGCUCAAUCUAUAUAAAGUCACUUGUAUGUAUGUCUUCAGUGUUGACCAUUUGGUAUUGGGUAACCAAUCUGGCAUGCUCUUCCCUGAGGAAGACCGUUUCUCCCACUCUCUGUACUCCUUAGUUGCCUCUAGUUCUUUGUCUUGGCUUGAGGCCUCACCACCUUUCCCCUGAUCAUGUCAGUGUGUCUUUGGGCAUUGUCCCUGUUCAGGUCAUGUCUAGGCAGCUGUGUCCAUGAGAUUUCACGGCUGUAGCUUCUCUGACAUAUUCUAAGAGACACCGUCUAGCCACUUCCUGUUUCUCUGCCUCUCACAGUCUUUCCAGCCUCUCUUCUGCCAGUGAUCCCUGAGCCUUUGGUGCAGGAGUGUACUAUAUGUAGAUGGAUCUCCUGGGGUAGGGCUUCAUAGCUCUGCACCUUGAUUGGUUGUGGUUUUCUAGUCUUAUUUGCCUCUAUUGAAAAGAGACAUUUCUUUGACGAGGGAUAAAGACCACACUUCUCUGUGGGUGUAAGGACACAUUUAAAAUGUAGUUGGAGACGGUGCUGGCAUAGUAAAAUGGUGGUUGUAGGCUCUCCUCAAAGAUCACGGAUUCACUAAGUAUGAGUAGUUUGACUAGCUUUCCAGUACUAGACGUGAUUAAUCUUCUGUUAACUGGGCCCUACACCCACUUAGAGAGGUUUUGGUAUUUGUGCCACUUCUGAAUCCUUACAGGUACUGUGUCAUGCUGGUCAUCACUGUGGUCCACAGUUUAUCAUAGCUAGGUAGGACUGUUUCCUCCUUUGGAAGUUUACGUGACACCUUUGGGUGCCGUGAAAGCAGUCCUCACGGAAGAGGCUUCUGCAUCAGAUCCAGCUCAGAUCCUCUGGGUGCUAUCUUCAGCCACAGGGGUUUACUCUCACUUUUGGGGGGCUUGGGGGGAGCAUCCAAGAACAAUAGCUUAUAAUGUUUGUGCAUUGUCAGCCUAGAUGAGAAAAUUUUAUUUAAACUAUGCAUGUAUAUGAAUAUACAAACCUACAUGUAUUAUAGAUGUGUUUUUAGGGACACAGUUAAUAUGAUUCUUGACUUUACUGUGAUCAUACCCUCCUCUUGCUUUCUAUAUUUAUCUCCUUCCCCAAUUCUUAAUUAAGACUCUGAUUUUUUUCUCCUUUCUCCCUUCAGAUCACGUGCACUCCGCUAUUCCCCCAUUGCUCCUCCCCCAAGCAUUUCCGAAUGCAUCAAGCACUUGCCUAUUAUUUAUUGAACUUAUUAUGUUCCCUACACACUGGCUUCAUGCCCUCCAUAUGUGCAGGACUUUUUGCUGUGUACGAGAAAAAGACACAUAAUCGCUUGAGCUUUUAAAUGUCUUUGCCUCUUUCUGUUUUGCAUUCGUAGUGCUGAGGAAUGAAUGCUGGGUAAACGCAGUGCCACUGAGCCACCCCAAGCCGGAUUCUGUGAACAUCUACAUUUAGAAAAUUCUCAUCUAUUCAUUAUGUAGUGGGUAGAGUGUGAAACGAGGAAAAUACAAAACUCGUUUUGUCCUUCAAAGAAUUAGAAUCUUUCUCAGGAUCUGAGGACACAGAUAGAGGGUCCACGGAGGCCACUAAAUAGAUCCUCAGAACCUUAAUAACAAGGGCAGUGAGUGUGGGCGCUGGGGAGGUGGCUUAGCAGGUAAAAUAUUUGCCAAGGAAGCAGGAAGACUGGCCUUUGUAUCCCCAACACUCAGGCAAAUGCUGACUUAAAUGUAGCCCCUAUGCACAGGAGGCAAAAGCAGGGGUCUCUGGAGCAUGUUUGACUUCCACAUUCACCCACAUACAUGCAAGCAUGCGUGUGCACAUGAAAAAAAUGCACACUCACAUGCAUGUAAAAAUGACAUGAGAGCAAAUAAAAUAGGUGUGUAAAUGCAGGACUGCCCAGGGAGCACACUCUCAAUAAGAAGCCAUGCACGGCAAGCGACAUAGCAGUGUGCCUCUGUAUUCAGUCAGGCACAUUUGUGUAUAGUGUCAUUAGAGUUUUAAGUCCUCUUGUCGCAGAAGAAUGCAUAAACACUCAGCAAAGUACUUUCCAUUGAAAUUCAACAGGCACAUAGGCAGUGAUGGGUUUCACGGUUAUAUCUACUCUCAACAGGAAAAUACAUGCACGUCUGUACAUGGCUUUCCGACGUGGAGGAGACCAGACUCCCCUGUUUUAGUUUUUACAUCUCAUUAUGUUCUACUCUAGCACAUCUCCAUUCCAGUCUUGCCCUCUCACCUUGGCACGCUGACGUUCUUUUAUCCCCUUCCCCUCGUUUUAGAAACAGAACAGCCCAGGAUUAUCGACUCAACUGUCGUGUUGAGAAGAAUCGGUGGCUGGCAUCCAGGAAUAGGAGAAAUAACACUCGUGGUUUCUGCACUCCCUUCUGGGGCUGGCUGUGGAAGCUGAGCGUAGCUAUGGAACCAAAGAACUGUGAUGUCUAAACUGUAACACUUUAAAUCGGGGCUGUUUUAGAUGAACAGGAACACAUGUCAUCUCGGGUCUGACCACACUGAAAUUCACUGGCAAGGCCACCCAAGGGUGGUGGCAGGCCCCGAGACUAGGAUGAAUGAGGAAAGGGGGCCAACGUAUGGGCAGUUAUCUGGGGAGAGAGACAGGGGUGAGUUACCGUGACCACUGGCAGGGACAGAUGCCUUGGAAAGCUCACAGCAUCAGCCAGUCUCUUUGGGCCUCAGUGUUAGCCUUGGAAGGGAGUAACAUGAGUGUGUGCUGGGACUUACAGCAUGCCUGUUUCUUGAGGCAUACGUAUGUUGGUGUAUAUGUGUGGCUGACAGAGAUACUCUCAACCAACACCCCUUGCUUCCAGCUCAUGGGCUACAACUGCACUGUUUUUGUGCUGGCAUUGAUUUUCAUAGUCAAUCCAUUGCCCACCUCAACGGAGUGGACUUAAAAUUGAUCAUGCCCUCCAGGGUGUUUCCUGGUGACGUCUUCUCAGUUGAUAACAGUUGAUGAGGUUGCAUGCCUGGGUCACAAGGACCCAGGAGAGCACUGGUUAGAAGCUAUGCUUGAGGCAGGGGGACAGUCAGAGGAGAGGGAGACCUUGGGAAGGGGCCGAGAGAAGAGACAACGGUCCAUGGGAAAGAGAAAGUCUCCAGGAACUCGGGACUUGCACAUCUCUUUAUCCCAUACCGUGUCAUGUCACUCUUUCAGCGUGCACACCGAUUCUCUGCCAUGUGUCAUUCCUGUUGCUGGAGACCGCAAGGAACAAGGCAGACAACAAGCACACACAAGCUGAGACGACAUCAGAGAAGGAAGCGUCCCUUAUAGUUCAGUUGGAGGCUUGGUUAGUAUGCAUGGAACAUUCACUCUGCAUUGGGUGUCGCCUUUUCUCCUGUGAGUGUAUCCUAGAGCUGUUGACCCCUCACCCAGAAGUGGUACACCAUAAGAGAAAUCAAUACCCCAUCUUAUAGACAUGGAAAAGGCACAAAAAGAGUAGUCAAGCCAAUUUCUAAGUCACACCAGUAAGGGUAGGGUCAAGAUUUAAACGCAGACCGCAUAAUUUUCCACCUUGCUCCCAGAGACAAAAUAUUAUGUAGCUUAGUGAUUCUCAACCUGUGGGUUCUGGAUGACCCUUUCACGGAGGGUGCAUAUCAUAUAUUGACAUUGCUAAUCAUAACAGCAGCAAAGUUACAGUUAGGAAAUAGAAACGAAAUAAUUUUAUGGCCGUGGGGGUCACUACAACACGAGGAGCUACAUUUAAGGGUCAUAGUUGUAGGAAGGUUGAGAACAACUGUUGUAGCUCAGGAUGACCUCGAACCUCUGGUCCGCCUGCUUGUACCUCUGGAGUACUGGGUUACAGCCUUGCACCACUACGCCCUUUGUGCAGUGGUGGUGAUUGAACCCAGAGACUCACAGAUGCUAGGUGAGUAUGUUACUGACUGAAGUGCAUGCCCAGUCACCAUGCUACGCCUGAUUUCAUGUUCUGAACCAUCAUGCCACUGAAAUUCACCUGACUUGAGGACAAUGGGUAUAAAAUGCUGGAGGUUGUUGAAUCUGGCUGGGGUUUGAAACCCGUGUGAAAUAAGCUACCCCAGUCAGCCCUCCCUAAGGAAGAGGGGGCAUCUGGGCCAUAAAUAAUUAGAAAUACUCAAGACAUGAAGAUCUGAAGACAGAGUUCCCCAGGGAAGAUCAAAGAUCCUGGGGCAGAAAGGAAGCUGAUGGUUUGAGUGUAAGUGGAGUGGUUAGGAGUGUUUGAUAAAGGGAUCCAAACUUAAUCAUUUUUUAUUUAUCUCUGUGUGUUCUCAUUUCUCCUGUGCAUUCAAAUGUGUGAAAUGAAGAGGUUGUCAUGGAGGGCAGAAGACAACCUCAGGCUUAGGUCACCUUCCAUCCCGACACGGGUUUCCUUUUCCUUUGUUCCCUCGGGAGAUUUUCUCAUAUCUAACUCCCAUACCUCUGAGGAGUGCUGGGAUUAGUUUUGUGCCACCGUUUACCUAUCUACACGAGUUCUGAGAAUUCAAACUCAGAUGUGUGUGCUUGUGUGGCAAGGACGUCCUCAGCUGGGAAUACAAGCAGGAAACAGAACUCUGGCUUCCUACCUGGCCCUUCUUUAUUUAUGUGGGGAGAAUGACAGGGCCAACUUUACUAUGAAAUUCAGAGAUCACACAGUGGCAACGAACCCGACUGUCAUCAUUAGCAACAUGUCCACAGUUCUCACAGCUCAGCCGGCUUACCUUUCUGUGUUUGGCACACUUGUGUCACUAGUAAUGAACACGCCUGUACCACCGGUUAGCACUUAAUUGAGCAGGGACCUCAAAACCAACAUAUCACACUUGUCAUUUAGAGAUACGGUAUUUAUCUUACAAGGUGUCAAUUAUCCUCAUUCUGUAGAUAAGGGAACCGAAGGUCUCAGAGACUAAAUAGUAUCCCCAAGAUCAACACUUCUAAUGAGGGAGAAACCAAUUCUAACCCAGUUUUCCUUUCUAGACCACACUCCCCUUACAAGCUGCGGACCCUGCCCACCCAGGCAGGUAGGGUGCAGUGCCUCCUCCUGAUGUGAACUUAUCUAUACAAACACACUGCUCUAAUUUCUUGUCCGAGGCCACAAUAAACACAGAAACAGAAAGCAAUUUAAAGAGGAAAGAGGUCCGUUUGGUUUCUCCAUCCAAGGCACAGUCUAAUCCUGAAGGAAGUCAGGGCAGGGAUUCAAGCUGGAGCUUGAAGCAGAAACCACAGAGGAAUGCUGCAAACUGGUCUACUCUGGCUCCUGACCACUAGCUUUCUUUUACAGCCUAGGACCUUGUACUUAGGCACAGUGCUGCCUGAAGUGAGCCAGGCCCUCUGGUAUUAAUCAAUAAUUAAGAAAAUUCUCCGUAGAUAUGUCCUCAUACCCAUCUGAUCUGGGCUAGCCCCAGCCGAAAGCCUUUCUGCUCAGAUGAGGCUAGGCUGGGUCAAAUUGAUAAUGAAAGCCAGCUAGGAUAAAACACUGUGUCAAAUCUCUCCUAGAAGUAUGAGGUGGAGCGAGGAGAGCAAGCUGGCCGCCAGACAGUGAUGAAAAAAGGAGAUGUGGAGAACGUUCCUGCCCUCAGGUGUCUGAACCUUGUGGGUAAAAGCACAGCUUCUUAGUGCUCUUAAGCUGUGCAAACUUGGCCUGAGAGAAUCCAGAAUAAAGCUGAUUGCAAACUUGGUGCGUAACCGAGAAAAUAAAGACAUCAUUUCCUGACUGAUUUGGACUAAGAAAAGAUGUAUUUACUUGCAGUUUAUUAUGCGGAGUGUGACAGGCACACAUUUGUGCUUUUUAUUGAAUGAUGACUUACUCCAUACAGGAAUCGGUGCAAUUUGUAAUGCAGAUUAUGUUUUUAAACAGAAUUAAAGAAAAAAAAGAGGGUGCAAAUACACUGAUGGCUGUCACGUGACCGGCCCGGCACUUCUCAGAAAGUGGCUGGAGCGUGGGCGGUGACGACAAAUAUAUACCCUCGAUGCACAAAUGUGAUUUCUAAAGAAUAAGAUUCUGGGCAGCUUCCAAUUCAGUCAGGCGGAUUUAGAAGAAGAAAUCCACGGCUAAGAAAAGCCAAGGAGCCGAAAAUAGCAGGAAUUGGAGCGGAUCACUCCCAUUAACUGCCGAGGCACCUCUAGACACUGCAAGAAGCAGUCUGGCUAAAACCAGGAUGCGCCAUGCCGGGGUCCAUGAUGAGGCUCUGCCAGACUCCUGGAGUCAUACACUCAGGCAUUACUUAGUGCGUUUAAUCAGCAGAGGUGGGACGCUGGGAAAGACGGGGGAAGCGCCGCUCUGCGGCGAAGCCAAUCAGAAGAGCACCUGGCUCGAGGCUUAUUUUCUCAGUAAUGAGUUUUGUGACCUCGGUGGCUUCAAGGCACCCAGCCAGAUCUCAUCCUGUGAUUCAUUUGUGCAAUUCCUUCAGGGGGCAGACUUGGGUUUUCCACUCCAAGUGGAUUUGUGAAUUUACGGGCGGGUAGGAUUCCGUUUUGUGGUUUUGUUGUUGUUGUUAUUUUUUCUUUUCUUUUUCUUCUUCUUUUUCUCCUUUUUCUGGAUCUUCAACCACCAUAUUAAUUUCCCCUAAUAUAAUGCACGCAUAAAACAGGCUUGUUUCUUUUAGAGGAAGGUGCAUCGUGCCAGCUGCUCCCCUGCCCUCCUCUAACGGUUUGGACAUCAGAGUUAAGUUCGUCCUGAGAUACAGCCACGGAGGGGGGUUCAUUCAUGCUAACUUGACUUCAGCUGCCCGUGAGUCAUAUUAACAGCAAUGUGUGACUAAAGAGGCAGCCAUGCAGAGACUGGAAAAUAAGUGGAAACUCUUCUUGUUUCAAACAUUUAUGUGCCCUGGUGGAAGGCAGAGCUGGUCACAGCAUGAUUUUCAAAUCACCUUACAGUUUUUUCAUCAUUUAAAACUGGACCCUGGUAUUUUAUUAUGGCAACAAGGAACAUAACCAGCACAGCAUUCAUCCAGCACUGUGCUCUAGAGCAGACAUACAGAAAGACCGUUUAUAGGCAGCCAUGACGGUUUAUCUUCAUUGUCGACAUGACUGGAUUUAGAGUCACCUAGGAGAUUGGUGAAGCAUACUCCUGAAUGUGCCCCGGAGGGUGUUUCCAGAGAGAGUUAACUGAGGCGGGAAGACCCACCCUGAAUGUGGGCAGUUCUAUCCCUGGGGCUGGUGCCUGGACUGAAUGAAAGAAGAAAUGGAGGCAGCCAGCAGAGCUGGAUUUCUGUCUCUUCUUCCUACCUAGUGACUUGAUGUGAUGCUCUGUGCGAUGAGAACAUCACAGCACAAUGAACUCAGUAUAGCUGUGAGAAAUAAACCCUCCUUUAAGCUGUCCCCGUUGGCGGCAUUUGAUCACAGUGAAGUAAGGACUAAAUAAAGGUCAUGGAUUUAC
Rattus norvegicus (Norway rat) is the source of this 9446-nucleotide long non-coding RNA. RefSeq lists it as uncharacterized. The record is from RefSeq and is a predicted model, not a curated record. Lineage: Eukaryota; Metazoa; Chordata; Mammalia; Rodentia; Muridae.